GUGGGGAAUCUUGCGCAAUGGGCGAAAGCCUGACGCAGCCAUGCCGCGUGAAUGAUGAAGGUCUUAGGAUUGUAAAAUUCUUUCACCGGGGACGAUAAUGACGGUACCCGGAGAAGAAGCCCCGGCUAACUUCGUGCCAGCAGCCGCGGUAAUACGAAGGGGGCUAGCGUUGCUCGGAAUUACUGGGCGUAAAGGGCGCGUAGGCGGACAGCUUAGUCAGAGGUGAAAGCCCAGGGCUCAACCUUGGAAUUGCCUUUGAUACUGGCUGUCUUGAGUUUGGGAGAGGUGAGUGGAACUCCGAGUGUAGAGGUGAAAUUCGUAGAUAUUCGGAAGAACACCAGUGGCGAAGGCGACUCACUGGCCCAAUACUGACGCUGAGGCGCGAAAGCGUGGGGAGCAAACAGGAUUAGAUACCCGGGUAGUCC
Molecule: ribosomal RNA, 425 nt
Filed under: uncultured bacterium
Lineage: Bacteria
Description: partial 16S ribosomal RNA
Rfam family: Bacterial small subunit ribosomal RNA
Source: RNAcentral